Molecule: transfer RNA, 64 nt
Filed under: Bacillus cereus
Lineage: Bacteria; Bacillati; Bacillota; Bacilli; Caryophanales; Bacillaceae
Also listed under: 1 other name
Description: tRNA-Asp
Rfam family: tRNA
About the family: Transfer RNA (tRNA) molecules are approximately 80 nucleotides in length. Their secondary structure includes four short double-helical elements and three loops (D, anti-codon, and T loops).
Source: RNAcentral
CCGUGGUGUAGUGGUUAACAUGCCUGCCUGUCACGCAGGAGAUCGCCGGUUCGACCCCGGUCGG